RNAcentral lists this ribosomal RNA (421 nucleotides) under uncultured beta proteobacterium PV2O. Its description in RNAcentral is "bacterial SSU rRNA". It matches the Rfam family "Bacterial small subunit ribosomal RNA", at positions 111 to 530 of the family's 1533-position model. Lineage: Bacteria; Pseudomonadati; Pseudomonadota; Betaproteobacteria; Nitrosomonadales; Nitrosomonadaceae. The record is from RNAcentral.
UAAUACAUCGGAACGUGUCCUUAAGUGGGGGAUAACGCAUCGAAAGAUGUGCUAAUACCGCAUAUCUCUCAGGAGGAAAGCAGGGGAUCGAAAGACCUUGCGCUAAAGGAGCGGCUGAUGUCUGAUUAGCUAGUUGGUGGGGUAAAGGCUUACCAAGGCAACGAUCAGUAUCUGGUCUGAGAGGACGACCAGCCACACUGGGACUGAGACACGGCCCAGACUCCUACGGAGGCAGCAGUGGGGAAUUUUGGACAAUGGGCGAAAGCCUGAUCCAGCCAUGCCGCGUGAGUGAAGAAGGCCUUCGGGUUGUAAAGCUCUUUUAGUCGGAAAGAAAGAGUCAUAGUAAAUAGCUAUGAUUUAUGACGGUACCGACAGAAAAAGCACCGGCUAACUACGUGCCAGCAGCCGCGGUAAUACGUAG